CUACUACCUCACACAUAUCCCUAUUAUCUUCUUAAAUCACUAUAAAUACCUUUCAUUCACAGCAACUAAAAGCACCAAAUCCGAAAAAGAAACUAUAGUAUUUUUAUUAGAAAUCAGAGAAGGAGUUUAUUUUGUUUUGUGUGCCGGAUUUCAAAAAAAGUAUUGAAAAUUCUUAUUGUCAACAAAGAAAACAAGAUUGAAAGAUAAAGAAUUGAUGUGGUGUUCAAAAAGGUUUCAGAAUUUGGAUGAACUGAGAGAAUUAUUGAACACAACUUAUUCUUUAAAGGUAAGUCAUCACAAAGGCAAUGUUGAGAAAGAAACUGAUUUUGAGUUUAGUAUACCUACCCAAGUAUCAUCUUUAUGUCUAUUAUUGAAUCUAUGUUAUUCUAUGGAUUUUCAAAUUCAUUAUUAAAAAUUUUGAUUUACGAUGUAA
Long non-coding RNA from Arabidopsis lyrata subsp. lyrata, 433 nucleotides. RefSeq lists it as uncharacterized. The transcript has 2 exons. The record is from RefSeq and is a predicted model, not a curated record. Lineage: Eukaryota; Viridiplantae; Streptophyta; Magnoliopsida; Brassicales; Brassicaceae.